Molecule: long non-coding RNA, 590 nt
Filed under: Dermacentor andersoni
Lineage: Eukaryota; Metazoa; Arthropoda; Arachnida; Ixodida; Ixodidae
Description: uncharacterized LOC126526668
Source: RNAcentral
AAGCGAAUGGUAUAAUCAUUGACUCUUUUAUUUUACGAAUAAUUCAGUUGUAUUACUAAAGCGGAGAGUGGAUAUGCAUGAAAGUCAGAUUGUAUUGAUACUCAGCAAAAACAAGGUAACUUAUCAUUACUAAUCAAUCCUUUUCUUUUACUGAAAGGCAAGUUGCUGUUGUGCUGGAGCUGAGAAGAGGUCUGCUGCCUGCAAUGGGUCCAUCUCUCUCAAGUUAUCGCAGUAGUGUAGCUCUCAAAGUUCAAAAAAGUAUGGUGGAAGCUGUUGCCAAGGUUCCGACCAGAAAAGACAGCCAGUAUAAAAGGGUCCACACCACUGAUCUCUACUACAGGGGAUGGACAGCACAUUGAGCACCCUCGACUGAAGCCAACCUUGUCCCGGAAGUUGGUGCUUCACAACUUUGCAGCAGCACUUCGUUUGCACGGCCUGUGGAGACAAGGUUUCUUUGACAUGGCCAUGGCCCUCAAGGAAGAAGCCGAGGCCACAGGCAGUUCCUCCAGUGACCGUGAAAAGGUCCCCUGGGGCACAAGUCUAAUUUGGCACCCCUACCUUUCUCCUGCAGCUUUUCUGUCUACAUAGCU